CAGUCGCCGCGGUAAUACGUAGGUGGCAAGCGUUAUCCGGGAUUACUGGGCGUAAAGCGCGCGUAGGCGGUUUUUUAAGUCUGAUGUGAAAGCCCACGGCUCAACCGUGGAGGGUCAUUGGAAACUGGAAAACUUGAGUGCAGAAGAGGAAAGUGGAAUUCCAUGUGUAGCGGUGAAAUGCGCAGAGAUAUGGAGGAACACCAGUGGCGAAGGCGACUUUCUGGUCUGUAACUGACGCUGAGGCUCGAAAGCGAGGGGAGCAAACAGGAUUAGAGACCCGCGUAGUCCCUGUCUCUUAUAC
Molecule: ribosomal RNA, 301 nt
Filed under: uncultured bacterium
Lineage: Bacteria
Description: partial 16S ribosomal RNA
Rfam family: Bacterial small subunit ribosomal RNA
Source: RNAcentral